Molecule: transfer RNA, 75 nt
Filed under: Candidatus Caldarchaeum subterraneum
Lineage: Archaea; Thermoproteati; Nitrososphaerota; Candidatus Caldarchaeales; Candidatus Caldarchaeaceae
Also listed under: 1 other name
Description: Candidatus Caldiarchaeum subterraneum (hot springs metagenome) tRNA-Glu
Rfam family: tRNA
About the family: Transfer RNA (tRNA) molecules are approximately 80 nucleotides in length. Their secondary structure includes four short double-helical elements and three loops (D, anti-codon, and T loops).
Source: RNAcentral
GCUCCGGUAGUAUAGCCCGGUCAAGUAUGCCGGCCUUUCGAGCCGGAGACCCGGGUUCAAAUCCCGGCCGGAGCA